RNAcentral lists this long non-coding RNA (560 nucleotides) under Physcomitrium patens. Its description in RNAcentral is "long non-coding RNA (PPAT_LNC011857)". The record is from RNAcentral. Lineage: Eukaryota; Viridiplantae; Streptophyta; Bryopsida; Funariales; Funariaceae.
GGAUUUGAUUUAGGGUUUAGGGUUUAGGGUUUGGUUAGGGUUUGAUUUAGGAUUUAGGAUUUUGAUUAGGAUUUGAUUUAGGAUUUAGGGUUUGAUUAGGAUUUGGUUUAGGAUUUAGGGUUUGGAUUAGGAUUUGAUUAGGAUUUAUUUAGAGUUUAGGAUUUGAUUAGGGUUUGGUUUAGGAUUUAGAAUUUUAUUAGGAUUUAAGAUUCAAUUAAUUUUGGCCUAAAGUUUUAAUGAAGUUCAAUAAGAUUUUAAUUAGAAUUAAAUGAAGAUUGAAUUGAGAUAUAUUUGAGUGAUAUUUUUGAUCCUUCUAAUAUUUAUUUAAGAAUUCUUAUUGUUUGUUUGAAAUUUCUUUGAGGUUUUUUUGAAUUUGAUUAAGCUUGCUUAGCAUUAUUAUGAUCUAAUUAGAGCAUUGUUAGUAUUCUAUUAGAAUUAAGAUUUUAUUAUUGCAAUUUCUAUUCUUCCUUCCACAGCCAAGUGCCCGGAGCAUUCUCAAGCAAGACUUCACGUAUUAUGACAACGUUCUAUAGGACCUCCAAUAUGUGUUGACUUUGUAG